RNAcentral lists this transfer RNA (65 nucleotides) under human gut metagenome. It matches the Rfam family "tRNA". From Rfam's summary of the family: Transfer RNA (tRNA) molecules are approximately 80 nucleotides in length. Their secondary structure includes four short double-helical elements and three loops (D, anti-codon, and T loops). The record is from RNAcentral.
GGCUUAGCUCAAUGGUAGAGCACCCGCCUUGUAAGCGGAAGGUUAUGAGUUCGAGUCUCCUAGCC